GGGCGCGUAGCCGGCUUGGCAAGCAUGGUGUGAAAGGCCACAGCUUAACUGUGGGACUGCUCUGGGAAAUGCUUAGCUAGAGAUUCGGAGGGCAAGAUGGAAUUCCUGGUAUAUGGGGUGAAAUCUGUAGAUAUCAGGUAGUACAUCUGUGACGAAGGCGAGCUUCUGGCCAGAAACGGACGCUGAGGUGCGAAAGCGUGGGGAACGAACAGCGAUUAGAUACCAUGGUAGUCCACGCUGUAAACGAUGUGCACUAGGUGUUGGCUGUGAUUACGGUCAGUGCCGAAGCAAACGGGAUAAGUCGCACCGCCUGGGGAGUAUGCUAGCAAGGCUGAAACUCAAAGCGAUUUGACGGGGGCCCGCACAAGCGUAGGAGCAUAUGGUUUAAUUCGAUGAUACGCUGAGGAACCUUACCAGGGUUUGAAAUAUGGCGGACUGCGGUAGAGAUGUCGGUUCCCUUCGGGACAGUUAUACAGGUGCUGCAUGUCUGUUGUCAGCUCGAGUUGUGAGGUAUUGAGAUUAAGUCCCGACAACGAGCGCAACCACUUACUGUCUGUUACCAGCAGCGUUAAUGGUGGGGAUUCCAGGCGGUAAUAUUCGUUGACAAACCGGAGGAAGGAGUGGAGGACGUCAAGUCAUCAUGACCCUUAUGUCUUAGGGCUAUAAAGGUGCUACAACUGUCCGGUCCAGAGUAGAGCGUAACCGAGAGGUGUGAGCUAAUGACAGAAAGCCGCUUUUCAGUAGGGAUUGGACUCUGAAACCCGACUUCAUGAAGUCUGGAAUCGUUAGUAAUUGCGCAUCAGCAUGGCUCGGAGUAUACGUUUCUCCGGGGCCAUGGUACACAACGCCCGUCUACACCACUCGACUAGUGGGGUACCUCGAAAUCGCUCCUCUGAC
This 897-nucleotide ribosomal RNA is filed under the name uncultured organism. RNAcentral's name for it is "bacterial SSU rRNA". It matches the Rfam family "Bacterial small subunit ribosomal RNA", at positions 565 to 1439 of the family's 1533-position model. The record is from RNAcentral.